Molecule: ribosomal RNA, 250 nt
Filed under: Gemmatimonadota bacterium
Lineage: Bacteria; Pseudomonadati; Gemmatimonadota
Description: Gemmatimonadetes bacterium (activated sludge metagenome) partial 23S ribosomal RNA
Rfam family: Bacterial large subunit ribosomal RNA
Source: RNAcentral
UAGUACGAGAGGACCGGGACGGACCGACCCCUCGUGUACCGGUUGUUCCGCCAGGGGCAGCGCCGGGUAGCGACGUCGGGACGGGAUAACCGCUGAAAGCAUCUAAGUGGGAAGCCCCCCUCGAGAUGAACACUCCCAGUGCGUAAGCACUCGGAAGGGCCGUGCGAGACGAGCACGUCGAUAGGCGGCAGGUGGACGCGGUGUGAGCCGUGGAGCCGAGCCGUACUAAUCGCCCGAGAGGCUUGACCGG